AUUGAACGCUGGCGGCAGGCCUAACACAUGCAAGUCGAACGAGUGGCGGACGGGUGAGUCAUGUCUGGGAAACUGCCUGAUGGAGGGGGAUCACUACUGGAAACGGUAGCUAUUACCGCAUACCAUCGGAUGUGCCCAGAUGGGAUUAGCUAGUAGGUGGGUUAAAGGCGAACCUAGGCGACGAUCCCUAGCUGGUCUGAGAGGAUGACCAGCCACACGGGAACGGAGACACGGUCCAGACUCCAACGGGAGGAAGCAGUGGGGAAUAUUGGACAAUGAGCGCAAGCCUGAUGCAGCCAUGCCGCGUGUAUGAAGAAGGCCUUCGGGUUGUAAAGUACUUUCAGCGGGGAGGCGUUACCCGCAGAAGAAGCACCGGCUAACUCCGUGCCAGCAGCCGUGGUAAUAC
RNAcentral lists this ribosomal RNA (406 nucleotides) under uncultured bacterium. RNAcentral's name for it is "partial 16S ribosomal RNA". It matches the Rfam family "Bacterial small subunit ribosomal RNA", at positions 30 to 526 of the family's 1533-position model. The record is from RNAcentral.